UGAGUCCUGAUGUGUACGUUGUGACACCUUAUCGUUUUGACCGAACAUAUCUACCUUCGGGAGUUCGGAGUUUCCAACUGGCAUACAUGCCUUUAUGGAAGGACGUAUAAAAGCUGGGGCAGAACACCCACCUGCGAAAGAGCGGGUUCAAGACAAAAGGAUUUUUGUUGACGGCAUGAUUGGGGCUCAU
Molecule: non-coding RNA, 190 nt
Rfam family: 6S / SsrS RNA
About the family: E. coli 6S RNA was the first non coding RNA to be sequenced, but its function was unknown until recently.
Source: Rfam